This is a long non-coding RNA of Hibiscus syriacus, 429 nucleotides long. RefSeq lists it as uncharacterized. The record is from RefSeq and is a predicted model, not a curated record. The transcript is spliced from 2 exons. Lineage: Eukaryota; Viridiplantae; Streptophyta; Magnoliopsida; Malvales; Malvaceae.
AAUUGUCCACCGUGGGACUCGAUCCCACGACCACAAGGUUAAGAGCCUUGCGCUCUUACCAACUAAGCUGGACGGGCAAUUCAAAGACAAACAAUUAGGAGUUGAUGCGUUCAAAGACAUUGCUAGGCUUGCCACCCAUACAAACUUGGCAGCAUGCGGUUUCCAGCACUCAAAAUCCCGUGUCCGCUCUUUUCCAAGCCUGGUAUGUAGCCAUAGCGAUGAUAUUAAACUGCAACAUAAGUCUACUUUGAUGCCAAAUUCUUGCCGAGAGAGUUUUUAUGUUUUCGUAAAGAAUGUUGUUCGCUCCAUUAUGGUUGAGAAGGGUCAGGCUAGAUCAUCAUAAGUUCAUCACAACCUAGACAUAUGUUACAUGCAUAUCUAAAUGGGAUAUAUUGUUUAUCGUCUUACCACAAAAGCCGAUUCUGCUCU